Non-coding RNA from Ictidomys tridecemlineatus (thirteen-lined ground squirrel), 734 nucleotides. Lineage: Eukaryota; Metazoa; Chordata; Mammalia; Rodentia; Sciuridae. The record is from RefSeq and is a predicted model, not a curated record.
UUCCAGACUACACCCCCUCUUGGGAGCGGGGUGGUCACAGUUAUAUAAAUGAUUUUAUGUGCGUGAGAAGCAUUCGCCUCUUCCCAUGGGAGCUGAACAAAGCCACCUUCCCUUUGACUUCCCAGUGCCUCCUCCUCCCUGCCUCGGGUCCUGUGCAGGAAGCAUGAUGUGCUCCCCUGGCUGACUUUGAUCCAGGCUCCCUGCCUUCGACUUUCCGGUCGUCCCUCUCCCGUUCCCCUCCACAGGCCCGUUGCCAGCCCUUUGAUCCUGUCUGUGACUUUCCACUGGGCCUCAUCAGGCUCUCUUAAGAUGAGGAAGCUUCAUCCAGCUCAGAUAUAAGCUGCUUGAAGGCAAGGAUCCUAUUUUGCACAUCUCUAGUCACCGGUGUGAAACCCAAGGCUUUUCUGAUUGCAAACAGUGAAAUUAUUGCCAGCUUUAACACAGGAGCUUUAGGAGGACAUCUCAUAUCCAAACUGUAACCCUGGGCCAAUAGACCACCACCACAACUCUGGGCUGGCAGAAUACGGUCCUGAGGAUCUGGUGAUUUUGCCACCCUCCAGGAGAGCCUGCCUGUUGGUGAUGCCAACACAGAGAUGCAUAGAGCUAAUGGAAGGGUAGGAGACAUAUCUCUGAUGAUCUAAUGAUGGUAUUAAGGGACCCGGAUCCUUUUCAGCCUUAUCCAUUCAUGCACUUUGCACCUGUGCAAGCCAAUAAAUGCCACUGUUCAACUUUCA